This 255-nucleotide ribosomal RNA is filed under the name uncultured bacterium. RNAcentral's name for it is "partial 16S ribosomal RNA". It matches the Rfam family "Bacterial small subunit ribosomal RNA", at positions 524 to 776 of the family's 1533-position model. The record is from RNAcentral.
UACGUAGGGUGGAAGCGUUGUCCGGAAUUAUUGGGCGUAAAGAGCUUGUAGGCGGUUUGUCGCGUCUGCUGUGAAAUUUCGGGGCUCAACCCCGAACUUGCAGUGGGUACGGGCAGACUAGAGUGUGGUAGGGGAGACUGGAAUUCCUGGUGUAGCGGUGAAAUGCGCAGAUAUCAGGAGGAACACCGAUGGCGAAGGCAGGUCUCUGGGCCACUACUGACGCUGAGAAGCGAAAGCAUGGGGGAGCGAAACAGG